GCCUUCGUGGUGUAAUGGUAGCACGCUCGACGCGUAGUCGAGAGAUCCAGAGUUCGAGUCCCGGUGAGGGCA
Molecule: transfer RNA, 72 nt
Filed under: Stegodyphus mimosarum
Lineage: Eukaryota; Metazoa; Arthropoda; Arachnida; Araneae; Eresidae
Rfam family: tRNA
About the family: Transfer RNA (tRNA) molecules are approximately 80 nucleotides in length. Their secondary structure includes four short double-helical elements and three loops (D, anti-codon, and T loops).
Source: Rfam by way of RNAcentral